GAUCCUGGCUCAAGAUGAACGCUAGCUACAGGCUUAACACAUGCAAGUCGAGGGGCAGCAUGGUCUUAGCUUGCUAAGGCUGAUGGCGACCGGCGCACGGGUGAGUAACACGUAUCCAACCUGCCGUCUACUCUUGGCCAGCCUUCUGAAAGGAAGAUUAAUCCAGGAUGGGAUCAUGAGUUCACAUGCCCGCACGAUUAAAGGUAUUUUCCGGUAGACGAUGGGGAUGCG
Molecule: ribosomal RNA, 231 nt
Filed under: uncultured bacterium
Lineage: Bacteria
Description: partial 16S ribosomal RNA
Rfam family: Bacterial small subunit ribosomal RNA
Source: RNAcentral